AGUAUAAGCAAUUAUACCGUGAAACUGCGAAUGGCUCAUUAAAUCAGUUAUCGUUUAUUUGAUAGUACCUUACUACUUGGAUACCCGUGGUAAUUCUAGAGCUAAUACAUGCAAAAAACCCCAACUUCGGAAGGGGUGUAUUUAUUAGAUAAAAAACCAAUGCCCUUCGGGGCUCCUUGGUGAUUCAUAAUAACUUAACGGAUCGCAUGGCCUUGCGCCGGCGACGGUUCAUUCAAAUUUCUGCCCUAUCAACUUUCGAUGGUAAGGUAUUGGCUUACCAUGGUUUCAACGGGUAACGGAUUUUUAGGGAAAGAUCCCGGAGAGGGAGCCUGAGAAACGGCUACCACAUCCAAGGAAGGCAGCAGGCGCGCAAAUUACCCAAUCCCGACACGGGGAGGUAGUGACAAUAAAUACUGAUACAGGGCUCUUUUGGGUCUUGUAAUCGGAAUGAGUACAAUUUAAAUACCUUAACGAGGAACAAUUGGAGGGCAAGUCUGGUGCCAGCAGCCGCGGUAAUUCCAGCUCCAAUAGCGUAUAUUAAAGUUGUUGCAGUUAAAAAGCUCGUAGUUGAACCUUGGGCCUGGCUGGCCGGUCCGCCUCACCGCGUGUACUGGUCCGGCCGGGCCUUUCCUUCUGGAGAACCGCAUGCCCUUCACUGGGUGUGUCGGGGAACCAGGACUUUUACUUUGAGAAAAUUAGAGUGUUCAAAGCAGGCCUUUGCUCGAAUACGUUAGCAUGGAAUAAUAGAAUAGGACGUGCGGUCCUAUUUUGUUGGUUUCUAGAACCGCCGUAAUGAUUAAUAGGGAUAGUCGGGGGCGUCAGUAUUCAAUUGUCAGAGGUGAAAUUCUUGGAUCUAUUGAAGACUAACUACUGCGAAAGCAUUCGCCAAGGAUGUUUUCAUUAAUCAGUGAACGAAAGUUAGGGGAUCGAAGACGAUCAGAUACCGUCGUAGUCUUAACCGUAAACUAUGCCGACUAGGGAUCGGGCGAUGUUUUUCUAUUGACUCGCUCGGCACCUUACGAGAAAUCA
RNAcentral lists this ribosomal RNA (1029 nucleotides) under Xenoroussoella triseptata. RNAcentral's name for it is "SSU rRNA". It matches the Rfam family "Eukaryotic small subunit ribosomal RNA", at positions 62 to 1100 of the family's 1831-position model. The record is from RNAcentral. Lineage: Eukaryota; Fungi; Ascomycota; Dothideomycetes; Pleosporales; Thyridariaceae.